RNAcentral lists this ribosomal RNA (440 nucleotides) under uncultured bacterium. Its description in RNAcentral is "partial 16S ribosomal RNA". It matches the Rfam family "Bacterial small subunit ribosomal RNA", at positions 338 to 795 of the family's 1533-position model. The record is from RNAcentral.
CCUACGGGUGGCAGCAGUGGGGGAUAUUGCACAAUGGGGGAAACCCUGAUGCAGCGACGCCGCGUGUGGGAAGACGGUCCUCUGGAUUGUAAACCACUGUCCCCAGGGACGAAGAUGACGGGACCUGGGGAGGAAGCACCGGCUAACUACGUGCCAGCAGCCGCGGUAAGACGUAGGGAGCGAGUGUUGUCCGGAAGUACGGGGUGUAACGGGAGCGGAGGCGGGGAUUCAAGGUGGGUGUCAAAACGACCGGCUCAACUGGUAGUCGCACGCAAAACUGCAGCUCUUGAGUGAAGUAGAGGCAGGCGGAAUUCCUAGUGUAGCGGUGAAAUGCGUAGAUAUUAGGAGGAACCCCAGUGGCGAAGGCGGCCUGCUGGGCUUUUCCUGACGCUGAGGCUCGAAAGUGUGGGGAGCAAACAGGAUUAGAUACCCGUGUAGUC